This 455-nucleotide ribosomal RNA is filed under the name Rangifer tarandus (reindeer). RNAcentral describes it as "partial large subunit ribosomal RNA". It matches the Rfam family "Bacterial large subunit ribosomal RNA", at positions 1966 to 2597 of the family's 2925-position model. The record is from RNAcentral. Lineage: Eukaryota; Metazoa; Chordata; Mammalia; Artiodactyla; Cervidae.
CAUUUGUUCUCUAAAUAAGGACUUGUAUGAAUGGCCAAACGAGGGUUUUACUGUCUCUUACUUCCAAUCAGUGAAAUUGACCUUCCCGUGAAGAGGCGGGAAUAUAUCAACAAGACGAGAAGACCCUAUGGAGCUUUAACUACUUAGCCCAAAGAAAUAAAUUUAACAACUAAGGAAACAACAAUACUCUUUAUGGGCUAACAGCUUUGGUUGGGGUGACCUCGGAGAACAGAAAAUCCUCCGAGCGAUUUUAAAGACUAGACCUACAAGUCAAAUCACACAAUCGCUUAUUGAUCCAAAAAAUUGAUCAACGGAACAAGUUACCCUAGGGAUAACAGCGCAAUCCUAUUCAAGAGUCCAUAUCGACAAUAGGGUUUACGACCUCGAUGUUGGAUCAGGACAUCCCGAUGGUGCAACCGCUAUCAAAGGUUCGUUUGUUCAACGAUUAAAGUCCU